This 253-nucleotide ribosomal RNA is filed under the name uncultured bacterium. RNAcentral describes it as "partial 16S ribosomal RNA". It matches the Rfam family "Bacterial small subunit ribosomal RNA", at positions 524 to 776 of the family's 1533-position model. The record is from RNAcentral.
UACGUAAGGUGCGAGCGUUAAUCGGAAUUACUGGGCGUAAAGCGUGCGCAGGCGGUUCGUUGUGUCGGUGGUGAAAUCCCCGGGCUUAACCUGGGAAUGGCCAUGGAAACUGGCGAACUGGAGUGCGGCAGAGGGGGGUGGAAUUCCGCGUGUAGCAGUGAAAUGCGUAGAGAUGCGGAGGAACACCGAUGGCGAAGGCAGCCCCCUGGGCUAGCACUGACGCUCAGGCACGAAAGCGUGGGGAGCAAACAGG